AAGUGCAGGUUGAUCAAUCAGUCUAUGCACACACAAAUUCUUGUUCUUCAAGCAACCCUCAAAGAAUGAUCACUUCGGUCUUCUUAAUGAGUUCUUGGAGCUUUGGCACGUUCUGCAAGAGAUCACAAAUCUGAAAAGAAUCAAUUAACUUGUAAGAAUCACAAAAGUCUCUGUAGAAAUCAAAAUCGCGUCUAUAUAUAGUUUUUCACAAAAUUGACGCUCAUAAGUCGACUAUACUCAGACAGUUAUAACAGUUAGCAGCAGUCAGACCAACUUAAUUGAUUACGCAUUUAAUACACUUGACUCACGAUUAUUUCUUGGUCAAAGAUAUAAAAUAUAGUCGUUAUACAUCACAAGCAUUAACAGAACUUCAAAACAUAACUAACUAAGUCGAGUAACUUGCGCAUAUAGUCGACUUUUUAACACCUUAAUGCAG
Molecule: long non-coding RNA, 436 nt
Filed under: Vigna radiata
Lineage: Eukaryota; Viridiplantae; Streptophyta; Magnoliopsida; Fabales; Fabaceae
Description: long non-coding RNA (VRAD_LNC012149)
Source: RNAcentral